UUGGAGGGCAAGUCUGGUGCCAGCAGCCGCGGUAAUUCCAGCUCCAAUAGCGUAUAUUAAAGUUGUUGAGGUUAAAAAGCUCGUAGUUGAACCUUGGGCCUAGCCGGCCGGUCCGCCUCACCGCGUGCACUGGCUCGGCUGGGUCUUUCCUUCUGGAGAACCGCAUGCCCUUCACUGGGUGUGCCGGGGAACCAGGACUUUUACUCUGAAUAAAUUAGAUCGCUUAAAGAAGGCCUAUGCUCGAAUACAUUAGCAUGGAAUAAUAGAAUAGG
This 272-nucleotide ribosomal RNA is filed under the name uncultured Ascomycota. RNAcentral's name for it is "partial 18S ribosomal RNA". It matches the Rfam family "Eukaryotic small subunit ribosomal RNA", at positions 548 to 826 of the family's 1831-position model. Lineage: Eukaryota; Fungi; Ascomycota. The record is from RNAcentral.